Molecule: ribosomal RNA, 253 nt
Filed under: uncultured bacterium
Lineage: Bacteria
Description: partial 16S ribosomal RNA
Rfam family: Bacterial small subunit ribosomal RNA
Source: RNAcentral
UACGUAGGGGGCAAGCGUUGUCCGGAUUUAUUGGGCGUAAAGAGCGUGUAGGCGGCCAGGUAGGUCAGCUGUGAAAACUCGAGGCUCAACCUCGAGACGCCGAUGGAAACCCUCGAACUAGAGUCCGGAAGAGGAGAGUGGAAUUCCUGGUGUAGCGGUGAAAUGCGCAGAUAUCAGGAAGAACACCCGUGGCUAAGGCGGCUCUCUAGUACGGUACUGACGCUGAGGAGCGAAAGCGUGGGGAGCGAACAGG